UGAUUUUAUUGCCAACAAUAACAGAUAACUUUGUUUAUAUAGUCUAGACGGACACUCUGCUUCUUCAUUCCUGUUUGAAGACUGUCUAGGACAGUCCUCAAACAUCCCCAGAGACAGCUUCCCUCCACCCUCCCUCCUCCUCCCAUCACAGAGCUUCAUUGGACCUCGUCUCUGUGUCUCUGUAUGCUUUGUGCUAUUUAUUCAUAUAUAUAUAUAUAUAUAUAUAUAUAUAUAUAUAUAUAUAUAUAUAUAUAUAUAGAAGCCAGCCUUCCAGUACUAAUCUUGAGUCGAUUGGCCCAACUUAGCGGUUUUCGGGCCUCAGAGAUCAGAGAUCUUUCUUUUUUUUUUCUUUUUUUUCUUUUUGGUUCUUUUUUUCGGAGCUGGGGACCGAACCCAGGGCCUUGCGCUUCCUAGGCAAGCGCUCUACCACUGAGCUAAAUCCCCAACCCCUCAGAGAUCUUUCGUAUCUCUCCUUCUCUGCGCUCUGUUUGAAGAGCUGGAGUGGCCACGUGACUCUCCUUUCAGACUCUGGCUUUUGCUCAGCGGUCCUUUUAACCAGGCCUUCAGAAGCAAGCUCAGAUAAUCCGACGUCGGGUGUAAGGUCCGUCUCUUUGUUUUCCUUCUCAGGGAGGAGCCGCACCUUGGUGGGGCGUCCACCUGGAUAACCCGUGCUGUGCAGUGUAGAGGGAGGGGCGUGAACAGAUCCAUCCAUCUCUGAAAAUGUCC
RNAcentral lists this long non-coding RNA (726 nucleotides) under Rattus norvegicus (Norway rat). RNAcentral describes it as "long non-coding RNA NONRATT027986". The record is from RNAcentral. Lineage: Eukaryota; Metazoa; Chordata; Mammalia; Rodentia; Muridae.